RNAcentral lists this ribosomal RNA (222 nucleotides) under Alkalibacterium thalassium. Its description in RNAcentral is "16S rRNA. Bacterial SSU". It matches the Rfam family "Bacterial small subunit ribosomal RNA", at positions 1 to 215 of the family's 1533-position model. Lineage: Bacteria; Bacillati; Bacillota; Bacilli; Lactobacillales; Carnobacteriaceae. The record is from RNAcentral.
CUUAAAAUGAGAGUUUGAUCCUGGCUCAGGACGAACGCUGGCGGUAUGCCUAAUACAUGCAAGUCGAACGCUGAAACACUCUGCUUGCAGAGUGUGGAUGAGUGGCGAACGGGUGAGUAACACGUGGGGAACCUGCCCAUAAGAGGGGGAUAACAUCCGGAAACGGGUGCUAAUACCGCAUAGGUGAUCAUAGCGCAUGCUUAGAUCAUUAAAGAUGGCUUC